UACGUAGGGUGCGAGCGUUAAUCGGAAUUACUGGGCGUAAAGCGUGCGCAGGCGGUUCGUUGUGUCGGUGGUGAAAUCCCCGGGCUUAACCUGGGAAUGGCCAUGGAAACUGGCGAACUGGAGCGCGGCAGAGGGGGGUGGAAUUCCGCGUGUAGCAGUGAAAUGCGUAGAGAUGCGGAGGAACACCGAUGGCGAAGGCAGCCCCCUGGGCUAGCACUGACGCUCAGGCACGAAAGCGUGGGGAGCAAACAGG
This 253-nucleotide ribosomal RNA is filed under the name uncultured bacterium. RNAcentral describes it as "partial 16S ribosomal RNA". It matches the Rfam family "Bacterial small subunit ribosomal RNA", at positions 524 to 776 of the family's 1533-position model. The record is from RNAcentral.